This 400-nucleotide unclassified non-coding RNA is filed under the name uncultured fungus. RNAcentral describes it as "sequence contains ITS1". The record is from RNAcentral. Lineage: Eukaryota; Fungi.
AUACGUCAUCCCCACCUUCCUCCGGUUUGGCACCGGCGGUCUCCCAUGAGUCCCCGGCUUUACCCGCUGGCAACAUGGAACAGGGGUUGCGCUCGUUGCGCCACUUAAGGCAACACCUCACGGCACGAGCUGACGACAGCCAUGCAGCACCUGUGCCGGCUCCCGAAGGAGCGCUGGCUUUCACCAGCUUCACCCGGCAUGUCAAGCCCUGGUAAGGUUCUUCGCGUUGCGUCGAAUUAAGCCACAUGCUCCGCCGCUUGUGCGGGUCCCCGUCAAUUCCUUUGAGUUUUAGCCUUGCGGCCGUACUCCCCAGGCGGGGUGCUUAAUGCGUUAGCUGCGGCACGGAAGGGGUUGAUGCCUCCCACACCUAGCACCCAUCGUUUACGGCUGGGACUACCAG